GGGCCCGCACAAGCAGUGGAGUAUGUGGUUUAAUUCGACGCAACGCGAAGAACCUUACCAGGGCUUGACAUCCUCUGACCGCAGCAGAGAUGCUGCUUUCCCUUCGGGGACAGAGAGACAGGUGGUGCAUGGUUGUCGUCAGCUCGUGUCGUGAGAUGUUGGGUUAAGUCCCGCAACGAGCGCAACCCCUAUUGCCAGUUGCCAGCAGGUUAAGCUGGGCACUCUGGCGAGACUGCCGUUGACAAAACGGAGGAAGGUGGGGACGACGUCAAAUCAUCAUGCCCCUUAUGUCCUGGGCUACACACGUACUACAAUGGCAACAACAGAGGGCAGCCAAACCGCGAGGUUGAGCGAAUCCCAAAAUGUUGUCUCAGUUCAGAUUGCAGGCUGCAACUCGCCUGCAUGAAGUCGGAAUUGCUAGUAAUGGCAGGUCAGCAUACUGCCGUGAAUACGUUCCCGGGCCUU
This 465-nucleotide ribosomal RNA is filed under the name uncultured bacterium. Its description in RNAcentral is "bacterial SSU rRNA". It matches the Rfam family "Bacterial small subunit ribosomal RNA", at positions 917 to 1382 of the family's 1533-position model. The record is from RNAcentral.